GACAACGGCUGGCGGCGUGCCUAACACAUGUAAGUCGAGCGGGGUUAACCGCAAGGGUUAACCUAGCGGCGGACGGGUGAGUAACGCGUGGAUAACCUGCCUCAAGGGUCGGGAUAACAGCUCGAAAGGGCUGCUAAUACCGGAUGUGAUGCACUUUUCGCAUGGAGGGUGUAUGAAGGGGAAACCCGCCUUGAGAUGGAUCCGCGUCCCAUCAGCUAGUUGGUAGGGUAAAGGCCUACCAAGGCGACGACGGGUAGCCGGCCUGAGAGGGUGACCGGCCACACUGGGACUGAGAUACGGCCCAGACUCCUACGGGGGGCAGCAGUGGGGAAUAUUGCACAAUGGGCGAAAGCCUGAUGCAGCGACGCCGCGUGAGCGAAGAAGGCCUUCGGGUUGUAAAGCUCUGUCUGGAGGGACGAAAGAAAUGACGGUACCUCCGGAGGAAGCCACGGCUAACUACGUG
This 463-nucleotide ribosomal RNA is filed under the name uncultured bacterium. RNAcentral describes it as "bacterial SSU rRNA". It matches the Rfam family "Bacterial small subunit ribosomal RNA", at positions 35 to 507 of the family's 1533-position model. The record is from RNAcentral.